AGCCGGGGAGUUAGCGGUGCCCUGUACCUGCAAUCCGCUACAGCAGGGGUGAUACUAAACAGAGGGUCUUUUGUUGUGGAGCUGCCCUCUAUAAGUGGCGUUGACGUCUGGGUCUCGCGCAACAGAACUCUAUGAACCGUGUCAGGGCAGGAAUGCAGCAGCACUAAGUAGAAUCUUCUGUGUGCCGUGAGGCAGCCUGGGCCGAGUUAACUGUAGAGGUAACGUCUGGGGCGGAGAUUCGAAGGGCAGUGCGCG
RNAcentral lists this signal recognition particle RNA (255 nucleotides) under human gut metagenome. Its description in RNAcentral is "Bacterial large signal recognition particle RNA". It matches the Rfam family "Bacterial large signal recognition particle RNA". Rfam says of the family: The signal recognition particle (SRP) is a universally conserved ribonucleoprotein involved in the co-translational targeting of proteins to membranes. Archaeal SRP consists of a 7S RNA and homologues of the eukaryotic SRP19 and SRP54 proteins. In most bacteria, the SRP consists of a 4.5S RNA and the Ffh protein (a homologue of the eukaryotic SRP54 protein). The record is from RNAcentral.